This 253-nucleotide ribosomal RNA is filed under the name uncultured Caulobacteraceae bacterium. RNAcentral's name for it is "partial 16S ribosomal RNA". It matches the Rfam family "Bacterial small subunit ribosomal RNA", at positions 524 to 776 of the family's 1533-position model. The record is from RNAcentral. Lineage: Bacteria; Pseudomonadati; Pseudomonadota; Alphaproteobacteria; Caulobacterales; Caulobacteraceae.
UACGAAGGGGGCUAGCGUUGCUCGGAAUUACUGGGCGUAAAGGGAGCGUAGGCGGAUCGUUUAGUUGGGGGUGAAAUCCCGGGGCUCAACCUCGGAACUGCCUUCAAUACUGGCGAUCUUGAGUAUGGGAGAGGUGAGUGGAACUCCGAGUGUAGAGGUGAAAUUCGUAGAUAUUCGGAAGAACACCAGUGGCGAAGGCGACUCACUGGCCCAUUACUGACGCUGAGGCUCGAAAGCGUGGGGAGCAAACAGG